GCGCGUACAGGUCCCUCCCGCAGGCGCUGUCGGGCGGAAGGCGUUUCUGAUGACGAAGAAAGUGGUGAGAUUAAUCCUGAGCUGCUCCCUAGUAGCGGUGAGAAUCCUGAGCUGUUUAAGAAAUUUAGAUCUCCAAUCAUCUCACUAUCCCUCAGUUUAAUAUAUUCUUUUUCAAUCGAGGAUAUGCAAUUUUUCUUGAGUUGCUGAAGACAUUGGGCCAUUGGGGUAUGCCUCCGGUUAAUUAACCUGAGCAUAAGGGAAAAUGUUUAGCCUGUGAACUUAACAUACAUGUAGUAUGCAUGUGCCCUCCAUGGCAGAAACUUCCAUUUUUUGUUAAACAAGAGUCCAUGUUGGCUGAGUCGUGGAUCAUUUAGAACCGUCUAGUUCAGUCCCUGCCUGUUUAUGAGCUUCACAUAGCCUCCCAUGAUAGUUUCUGAAGGCAGGACAGACCAUGUGGAAAUGAGAACAGAUGUACGGGCAUGGUUCUGUACAGGUGUUAGGUAAGUGUUUUUGCUGAUUGUGUGAAAUUUUGCAGGUACUGGUAGCAUGCUAUAUUAAUGCUUUGGACGAAAUUACAUUAUUCGUCACCCCUGCUCAGCUCAGAGAGGUAUCUCAUCCCGUCGUCCCCUGAUCUCUGACUCUCAAUGCUUGGACGAAAUUACAUUAUGAAACUUAUAUGCAGUAAGGCCUAGAUUGGCAGUGUAAUUUUUAAAAUACCGCAGUAUUGGAAAAAUUCGGCAUCAUGUUUAACUAGUGUGGACCUUGCUAUGCAGAGGCCUAGUUUGCCAUGUUGAUAAUUGUGAGUUACAAACCAAGCUUUCCGUUUGAGAAAAAAGAGGUCUGGAACUCUUUUUCUAGAAGUUAGAAAAAAACAUUGUAUCAGGAAUACAAGUGAAUAUGAAACUAUUGUUGUUUGUUUAGCCAAACACCUCACAGUUUUCAAAACUACAGUUUUAUAGAAACCAUAGUAUUCUGAUUGAGCUAAGCUAGCAGUGUAUCUUCACCUGUGGGGAUCAAGGUGCAUAUGCUCCUUGUCUUUUUUCACAUUCUAGACUAGAUUGAAUAAAAGGAAUUCCUAAUCAACUGUAAAAAAAUAAAUUUAAUUACCAAUCUGCACGCACAAGACAUAUAUCUUUCUCAUCAUUUUAAACAGUAACAAUUGAUACUCCACGUAUACAUUUUCUAAGAAUUACUUCAUAUAUGUAGGCUGGCAGCGGUGUUCACAAAUCACCACGGAGAAAGUAAAGAUCUCGAGAGGAUUCUGUUUGUUUGCUCUAUGUAUUGUCUUUCGAAGCGCGCGCAGGAAAAAACACACACAAAAAUGCUAGUUCAUUUUACUGCCUUUUGUAGCAAAAGAAAAUGAAAAACACAAAAAAUGUUUGUUUCUCUGCCUUUUGUAGUAAUGGAGAAUGAAAGUCACAAAAAAUGUUUGGAGGAGUGGUCUCUGUGAUUUGGGGGUAGUGGCCCGGGUGUGGUCGGGCUCGAAUUCUCUGCUAUGGGUUUGGAGGAGUAAUGUUUCUGGUUCUGCAGAUAUUCAAGCUCUGG
RNAcentral lists this long non-coding RNA (1545 nucleotides) under Triticum aestivum (bread wheat). RNAcentral's name for it is "long non-coding RNA (TAES_LNC023065)". The record is from RNAcentral. Lineage: Eukaryota; Viridiplantae; Streptophyta; Magnoliopsida; Poales; Poaceae.